CCUGCACCCUGCAAAACUAGAGCCUCCAGUAUUCUCAGUCAGGCUUCUGAACUUCUUCAGUCAGAUGGCUCAACAAAAUCAUCUGGACUACUUUGAAAGUAGUCUGACAUCUGUUGGCUUGCUAAAGAAAUUGUGGCAUCAGCUGCAACAGUUUGAUAUGAUUAUGGUAUAAGUAAAAAUGGGUACUGCCUUACUUGGAGGUAACUGUGUUGUAGUCUCUUUACACCUUCCGGAUUGUACUAACCCAAGGUUGGCAUGAUCUGGAAUCUUCUAUGUGAAUUCAGUUACUACAAAAGAGAGGUGACGCCAAGGACUCUACAAUCUCAGUGCCUGAAAGUGGGUGGGAUUAGUAUUACUGCCUUGAAUGGAUGUUACUGCUGAAACCAUUACAAGUCUGAAAAGCUUUCUUUCCUGUAGCCAGCUGGAAAGGUGGCAUACUGCUGAGAAGAGAACCUGGAGAGAUACAUGAAAUAGAUUCUGAGUGCUUGAGGUAGAGGAAGCCAGUUGGAGAAAGAAGGAUACCUAUUGUUAAGUAGCUGCAGUUAAAUGGCUCCAUACCAGGCUCUUAUAGCAUCUUCAGAAAAUUAAUGGUGCUUCUGUGUAUUCUGAAAGUUAUUAAAUAAUAAUUCUAAAUUGUUAGUGCAAUUGUGACCAUGUUAAAAAGAAGUUAUUUUAUUGAGAUUUGAUUAAAAAAAAAAAGUUUUAUUAAUGCUCUGUGAAUAACAGCCUCAAGUGAUUUAUCUCACUUUAAUAGUGCAGCAGCAUACAGAUCUGCAAUGUGUACUCUCAUUAUUAAAGAGUCUUAGUGCAAAUAUUUAAAUAUCUAGUGAUUGGAAGACUUGACAUUUAUUGGAAUGUAGAUAUGGGAAGGGUUUAAUAAUGCUUUUAAUAUAACUUGACAGGACAAAAAAAAAAGUGCAUUAAUUCCAUUAUCAGAAUGCCUUAAAAGAAAAUUACAAAGUGGUGGAACUUGCAUUUGUACUUUCUUUCCACCUUCUGUGUCUGAACUGAACUGUGCUGUGAUUAGAAUAUGCUCAAGUAUUUGGAACAAAAAAAAAAAAGUAUGAUGAAUCUUAAAAUGCAAUUUUCCCCUCAUCAAAGUAGAGAAAACCCAUAUAACUUCAUUUAGAUAGUAAUUAUUUCUCGAAAUAUUCAUGAUCUGUAUUUAGAAACAGAUUUAGCGUUAAAUGCCCCAAAUUGAUAGGUGGAAAGGUAAAAAAGAAAAAAAGACUCUUUGAUCUGGG
This is a long non-coding RNA of Anser brachyrhynchus (Pink-footed goose), 1244 nucleotides long. Lineage: Eukaryota; Metazoa; Chordata; Aves; Anseriformes; Anatidae. The record is from Ensembl.